RNAcentral lists this long non-coding RNA (1465 nucleotides) under Pan troglodytes (chimpanzee). RNAcentral's name for it is "long non-coding RNA NONPTRT005642". Lineage: Eukaryota; Metazoa; Chordata; Mammalia; Primates; Hominidae. The record is from RNAcentral.
AGGAGAUGGGAUCAGGAGUGAUUCCAUGGUUAAUUUAACCCAUAUAAACAACUAAUCGUAAGUAUGGUAUGAGCGUUUAUGUAAAGACUGUGACAACAGGAAAUGUCUGUCUUUGAACCCAAGGUUAUCUAAGCAGCACACCAAUGGUGAGAGAUUAACUUUGUCAGAAACCAGGAACCAUGAAGCAGAGGUCACUGUUUCCAACCUGUGUGUUUUCCACGGUAAUUGGCAGCCUCCCCAAGGGAAAUUAAAACAUAUGUCCACACAGAAAUUUGAAUGCAAAUGUUCAUAGCAGCAUUACUCAUAAUAGCCCAAAGCUGAAACAGCCCCAAUGUUCCACAGUGGAUGAAUCGAUGAACAAAAUAUGGUGCAUCCACAGAAUGGAAUACAAAGAAAGAAAGCGUGGACACAUGCUGCAACAUGGAUGAACCUUGAAAAUAUUGUGCCAGGGGAAAGAAACCAGAGACAAAGAGCCACAUGUUGUAGGAUUCCAUGUAUAUGAAAGGUCCUAAUAAGCAAACUCAUAAAGACGAAAAGCAGAUUAGUGGUCACUUAGGGCUAGGGUGAGGAGUGACGGUUAGUGGGCACUGAGUUUCUCCGGGGGGAACUGAAUUAGAUAGUGGUGGUGAUUGCACAAUUCUGUGAAUAGACUAAAAACCACUGGACUGUAAGAGGGUUAAUUUUUUGGUAUAUGAAUUACAUCUCAAUAAAGCUGUUACUUAAAACGUGGAAAAAAUAAUAAGCAGUCACUAGCUAUUCUCAAUAAAACAGAAACCACAUAGGUAAGACCAAUAUUGUCACAUUUUGGUUUUGGCUGAUAAUGGGGCAAGUGAGCAUAGUCACCGUUGCCAGAGGAUUUACCAUUUACAAAUAAAAGUUUCUGUGGAAUGACAACCAUUUACUAUGUGCCAGGUACUGUGCUAAGCACUUUGUAUAUACCGAUUCAUGUAAUCCUUGUGACAGCCCCGUGAUGCCCCAUUUUUAGAUGGGGAGAUUGAGGUUAGGAGAGUUGAAUAACUUGCCCAUAGCUGCACAGCUUCCAAGUUGCAGAGACAGGAUUUUCACCGAGUCUUAUUACAAACUGCCUCAUAUUGUGUGGACUGGAAAUUCUAUGUUGAGGUUAAUUUAUUCAUUUGUUGUUUAGUUCUUUUCAUCAUUGUUGAGUUGCCAAUGGCAGUUCCAGAGGAUUUAUCAUUUACCCCAAAGCUACUGCAAAUCUAAGAAAAAACAAUGUUCUUGCUGCUAAAGUUUAAUGUACAAAAAGAUUAGGCACUCAGCAGAAGCACCAGCCAGCUCAGCCUUUGGAGGGAGAAUUCCAUGUUGUUGGACCCAUACAUAUCCUCUGUCCCUGCUGCCAAGAGCUCUUUGUUCAUCGGCCCGUUGAGCAGACACCACAGCAGCUGCAUAGAGAGGCUGGCUGACAGCCACAGAGCAUGUAAUUCUGUCCAUCUGAUUCAGGGUCUUC